This 512-nucleotide ribosomal RNA is filed under the name uncultured eukaryote. Its description in RNAcentral is "bacterial SSU rRNA". It matches the Rfam family "Eukaryotic small subunit ribosomal RNA", at positions 12 to 511 of the family's 1831-position model. The record is from RNAcentral.
UCCUGACGGUAGUCGUAUGCUCGUCUCCGAGACUAAGCCAUGCAAGUCCAAGUACACGUCCUUGAACGACGGAAACUGCGAACGGCUCAUUAAAUCAGUUGCGAUCUACUCGGCGUUCCGCGCCGCCGGAUAACCGUAGUAAUUCUAGGGCUAAUACGUGCGAAGCGCCCGAAGCCGCGAGGCGACGGGCGUUCUCGCCGGAUGUAGGAACCGACCCGGGGACCGCCGGGGCAACCCGGCGCCCCCGAGACGGGGCGGAACCACGGUGAAUGACGGAUCGUCGGCCCCGCGCCGGCGACUCGCCGAAUGAGUUUCUGACCUAUCAACUCGAGACGGCGGGGUAGAGGCCCGCCGCGGUAACGACGGGUAACGGAGAAUUAGGGUUCGAUUCCGGAGAAGGAGCCUGAGAAACGGCUACUACAUCUAAGGAAGGCAGCAGGCGCGUAAAUUACCCAAUCCUAAAUCAGGGAGGUAGUGACAAGAUAUAACAACGCGAUUAAAUGUCGCGAUUG